Molecule: ribosomal RNA, 490 nt
Filed under: uncultured bacterium
Lineage: Bacteria
Description: partial 16S ribosomal RNA
Rfam family: Bacterial small subunit ribosomal RNA
Source: RNAcentral
AUUGAACGCUGGCGGCAGGCCUAACACAUGCAAGUCGAACGGUAACAGGAAGCAGCUUGCUGCUUUCCUGUCGAGUGGCGGGCGGGUGCGUGAUGUCUGGGAAACUGCCCGAUGGAGGGGGAUAACUACUGGAAACGGUUGCUAUUAUCGCACAACGUCGCAAGACCACAGAGGGGGACCUUAUGGGCUCUUGCCCUAGGAAGUGCCCAGAUGGGAUUUGCUAGUGGUUGGGGUAAAGGCUCACCUAGGCGACGAUCCCUAGCUGGUGUGAGAGGAUGACCAGCCACACUGGAACUGAGACACGGUCCAGACUCCUACGGGAGGCAGCAGUGGGGAAUAUUGCACAAUGGGCGCAAGCCUGAUGCAGCCAUGCCGCGUGUAUGAAGAAGGCCUUCGGGUUGUAAAGUACUUUCAGCGGGGAGGAAGGGAAUAAAGUUAAUACCUUUGCGCAUUGACGUUACCCGCAGAAGAAGCACCGGCUAACUCCGUG